RNAcentral lists this ribosomal RNA (445 nucleotides) under uncultured Streptococcus sp. RNAcentral's name for it is "bacterial SSU rRNA". It matches the Rfam family "Bacterial small subunit ribosomal RNA", at positions 936 to 1382 of the family's 1533-position model. The record is from RNAcentral. Lineage: Bacteria; Bacillati; Bacillota; Bacilli; Lactobacillales; Streptococcaceae.
AGCAUGUGGUUAAUUCGAAGCAACGCGAAGUAACCUUACCAGGUCUUGACAUCCCGAUGCUAUUCUAGAGAUAGAAAGUUACUUCGGUACAUCGGUGACAGGUGGUGCAUGGUUGUCGUCAGCUCGUGUCGUGAGAUGUUGGGUUAAGUCCCGCAACGAGCGCAACCCCUAUUGUUAGUUGCCAUCAUUCAGUUGGGCACUCUAGCGAGACUGCCGGUAAUAAACCGGAGGAAGGUGGGGAUGACGUCAAAUCAUCAUGCCCCUUAUGACCUGGGCUACACACGUGCUACAAUGGUUGGUACAACGAGUUGCGAGUCGGUGACGGCGAGCUAAUCUCUUAAAGCCAAUCUCAGUUCGGAUUGUAGGCUGCAACUCGCCUACAUGAAGUCGGAAUCGCUAGUAAUCGCGGAUCAGCACGCCCGCGGUCGAAUACGUUCCGGGCCUU